This 449-nucleotide ribosomal RNA is filed under the name uncultured bacterium. Its description in RNAcentral is "partial 16S ribosomal RNA". It matches the Rfam family "Bacterial small subunit ribosomal RNA", at positions 29 to 523 of the family's 1533-position model. The record is from RNAcentral.
AACGAACGCUGGCGGCAGGCUUAACACAUGCAAGUCGAACGAGAUCUUCGGAUCUAGUGGCAGACGGGUGAGGAACACGUGGGAACAUCCCUUUCAGUUCGGAAUAACGUUGGGAAACUAACGCUAAUACCGGAUACGUCCUUCGGGAGAAAGAUUUAUCGCUGAAAGAUUGGCCCGCGGCUGAUGAGCUAGUUGGUGAGGUAACGGCUCACCAAGGCUACGAUCAGUAGCUGAUCUGAGAGGAUGAUCAGCCACAUUGGGACUGAGACACGGCCCAAACUCCUACGGGAGGCAGCAGUGGGGAAUAUUGGACAAUGGGCGCAAGCCUGAUCCAGCCAUGCCGCGUGAGUGAUGACGGCCUUCGGGUUGUAAAGCUCUUUUGUCUGGGAAGAUAAUGACUGUACCGGAAGAAUAAGCCCCGGCAAACUUCGUGCCAGCCGCCGCAGUAA